AUGCCAAUUUUGAGGAUAUCAGGAUAGUACUGCUAACCUUAUACAAAAACCAAACUGCUUCCAACUCUUAUCUUCUUUUCAGGGAGGGUAUCUAAUUUAACAGACGAACUCACUGCAGAAAAAGUUAAAUUUGUGCAGGUAGUUAUUGCAGCCUAUUACCGGAAAGCUUUUCUGUGUAUAUUUUUCUUGUCUGUUUGUAUUUAUCCUCUUAUCAGAUAAGUAGAUUGAAGCAAAACAAAUAUCGAAUGCAAGUGUUUGAUUACAUUGCUCAAUUCUUAUACUCAAUUAGAUAAUUGCCAUCGAUUAGUAUUACGGUAAAAGGAAUAGUUGAAUGUUGAAACUCGCAACACAGAAAGUAGCAUUAUUAUCGGGUUUUUUACUCUAAAGUUCCUUCCUAGUAUACUAAAAAUACCAAUGGGAGUACUCUUAUUCUAAACAGGAUGAUGUUUUUUUGUCUAUUUUUGUGAUGGUAUAGAAUAUAAGGUUCUAACAAGAUAACCUGUUUUGUUUCAAGUGAAUUCUGCAUGUUUCUCGGAAGAAGACAAAAAAAGAGAUGAAAAGGAGGUUUGAUUUCCCAACAUAAUCUCUCGUAUCUGAAUGUCUUUCAGUUUCUUCAUGUAAGUUUAAAAUCCUCGUGUAAAUAAAAGUAUUAUUCUGUUCGUUUAAAUUUAUUCAUGAAAAAGUAUAAAUCUUUGACAUGGAGGAACCUAUUUUUAUUUCAACAGGGGAUAUUUCUAUCUAGGAAGUAGGAACGAAUGACCAACUCCCAAUCUCCCAUAGUUCCAUGAAUCAUGUUAUUGCCAGGUGGUCCUUAUUUUUGUGUGAUGAAUAGCAGAUAUGCUGGUGGAGGUUCUUUUUCGUUUGAUUAAUACAAGGUUAUGUUUAAGGUAGCGUAAUUCUUGUUAUCUUCCAUUGAUAUGUGGAUGGAAUUGGCAAUUGCAAGCGCCUUGUUUUUUAUAAUAAUGCAAUUCUUGUUAUAAACCACUGAUGAUUUCUUUCUAUUCAGUAUUAAACAAACCUUCACCUUAUGACAACAAAUCACUCAAGACAGUAAAAACCAUUAAUUUAUCCUCACAUCCAUCUAGCUAUCAAAGCUGCUUCCAUACUCCCUUCCUUGUUCAUUCCUUUCUCUGUAGCUGAUAUUCAUUUCCAUCCUUUCUCAAUACACGACUUGCUUCAGAAACUCUUCUAAACUUGAACUCGAUUUUCUCAAAGCUUUCCAUAUCCUUGUAUUAUAUUCGCAAAUUACAUGCAUCAAAGUAUAUCUAUAAUUUCACUUGUCUAGAGUAAUAGAGUGCUGGGGAUUUUAAACAAUGGCCAUUCGAGC
This 1327-nucleotide long non-coding RNA is filed under the name Zostera marina. Its description in RNAcentral is "long non-coding RNA (ZMAR_LNC000019)". The record is from RNAcentral. Lineage: Eukaryota; Viridiplantae; Streptophyta; Magnoliopsida; Alismatales; Zosteraceae.